RNAcentral lists this long non-coding RNA (1092 nucleotides) under Oreochromis niloticus (Nile tilapia). RNAcentral describes it as "lncRNA (ENSONIG00000040983.1)". Lineage: Eukaryota; Metazoa; Chordata; Actinopteri; Cichliformes; Cichlidae. The record is from RNAcentral.
GCUGGUUAACUGUUUUGGACUCUUCAAAGGCCAUAUAUGAAUGUGCAGAGAACGCUUUGGACAUGCAUGAAAUGGAGAGCCCAUUACGUCUCACAAUGGACAUCAGACAAAGUGUAGCUGAUCAGGAUAUGGCCCUCAUCUCAUUCUACAAGAGACCCAAUGUUGAAUGGGCACGUCCUUUGGAGUGCAGGCUUGAGGGUAAAUUUGCUGAAAAUGAUACAUAAAUAUCUUGAAAUAAAUAUUUGUAUUCAUUACUUUAUUUUGGUGAUCUAACAGGGGAUACAGCUAUCGGACAAGGAGUAAUAAGUUUUUUCUUAUCAACAUGCAUGGAGAAGCUGAUGUCUGGUUUUUGCAUCAAUUUUGGUUAGUUUGUUUUUGGUUGACGAUACCUAUGUUUGAUGAUCAUUAUAUUGUAUAACUUUUUAUAACUUAAUUAACUGUCUGUUUAUUUUGUGAAAACCUCUGUAUUAUGUGGAAGUAAUCUUUUUUUUUCUUUCUUUUCAUUUAUCUCAUAGCAAACUCUAAUGUUACUCCACUUUUUGAGGGAGAGCCAGGCCAUUACAUACCAUCAGCAUCUCACUUUCUUGUGGAGAGUGAUAUGUUCCUUAUGGCAGGGAGGAUGGUAGGGCACUCCUUUCUUCAUGGAGGCCCAUGCCUAUCUGGACUUAGCCCAGCCGUUGUGCAUGUCCUACUUGGUAGUAGUCCUGAAACUGCCACAGUUACACCCGAGGACUGUCCAGACCUAGACCUGAGAGGGAAAAUUCAGCUUCUUGAAGGGCAAUCCAAGCUGUCGGAUGGAGAGAGAAAAUGUGUUCAGGAUCUGGCAUAUGCAUGGGACCUCCCUCCCUUGACAGAGAACAACAGGAGAUGGCUGUUUGAGAAAUUAUUACUCCAUUCUGUCUUUGGAAGAGUGACGAGGUCAAUAAAACAGCUGAGAAGGGGACUUAAAGAAACCCCCUAUGUGGACCCUGCUGACCCAGCGACCUGACACGGUGCCCUUACUCUUUCCACAAGAGUUGGCUGCUGUGAACCCUGAGGUAAAUUUUGUGCUCCUAAAAUACUGUAUUCAUUAAUAACAUUUUACUGUGUGUU